UUUUUGCAUAAUCCCAAAAGCGGAGGAAAAGAAACCAACAGGGAUUGCCUCAGUAACGGCGAGUGAAGCGGCAACAGCUCAAAUUUGAAAUCUGGCCUCUCGGGGUCCGAGUUGUAAUUUGUAGAGGAUGUUUUGGGUACCGCCCCGGUUUAAAUUUCUUGGAACAGAAUGUCAGAGAGGGUGAGAAUCCCGUCUUGGACCGGUGGUAGGGCCUGUGUAAAACUCCUUCGACGAGUCGAGUUGUUUGGGAAUGCAGCUCAAAAUGGGUGGUAAAUUUCAUCUAAAGCUAAAUAUUGGCCAGAGACCGAUAGCGCACAAGUAGAGUGAUCGAAAGAUGAAAAGAACUUUGAAAAGAGAGUUAAACAGUAUGUGAAAUUGUUGAAAGGGAAGCGCUUGCAACCAGACUUGAGCGCGACGGUUCCCCUAGCCUUUUGGCUAGGUUACUCCGUCGUGUCCAGGCCAACAUCGGUUCUGAGGGUCGGUCAAAGGCCCCGGGAAUGUACCUACCCACGGGUAGACUUAUAGACCGGGGUGUCAUGCGGCCUCUCGGGACCGAGGAACGCGCUUCGGCUCGGAUGUUGGCGUAAUGGUUGUCAGCGACCCGUCUUGAACCCCGGGGACCAAA
This 625-nucleotide ribosomal RNA is filed under the name Phialophora verrucosa. RNAcentral's name for it is "LSU rRNA". It matches the Rfam family "Eukaryotic large subunit ribosomal RNA", at positions 33 to 664 of the family's 3401-position model. The record is from RNAcentral. Lineage: Eukaryota; Fungi; Ascomycota; Eurotiomycetes; Chaetothyriales; Herpotrichiellaceae.